UACGUAGGGUGCGAGCGUUAAUCGGAAUUACUGGGCGUAAAGCGUGCGCGGGCGGUUAUGUAAGACAGGUGUGAAAUCCCCGGGCUUAACCUGGGAACUGCAUUUGUGACUGCAUAGCUAGAGUACGGUAGAGGGGGAUGGAAUUCCGCGUGUAGCAGUGAAAUGCGUAGAUAUGCGGAGGAACACCGAUGGCGAAGGCAAUCCCCUGGACCUGUACUGACGCUCAUGCACGAAAGCGUGGGGAGCAAACAGG
This 253-nucleotide ribosomal RNA is filed under the name uncultured bacterium. RNAcentral's name for it is "partial 16S ribosomal RNA". It matches the Rfam family "Bacterial small subunit ribosomal RNA", at positions 524 to 776 of the family's 1533-position model. The record is from RNAcentral.